Fulmarus glacialis (Northern fulmar) is the source of this 731-nucleotide RNA transcript. It is a transcript of the gene named AF4/FMR2 family member 3 pseudogene, with no coding region annotated. The transcript has a single exon. NCBI's taxonomy places the organism in Eukaryota, Metazoa, Chordata, Aves, Procellariiformes, Procellariidae. The record is from RefSeq and is a predicted model, not a curated record.
ACUAACAAGGGGGAUGAGCUCUCGAAUCGCAUCCAGAAUACGCUGGGCAACUAUGAUGAAAUGAAAGACUUGUUAACUGACCGAUCAAACCAGAGCCACCUCGUUGGGGUUCCAAAACCUGGGGUUCCUCAGACGUCUCUCCCCAAGCCCGAUGACCAUCUUAUUGCAGACUCGAGACUGCCGCCUCCUCCUCCCAUUUCCAGCACUACUUCUUCCGCACCAGCAGCCCUGUCUGCCCAGCAGAGCAAAAGCGCCACGAUGGGUUGGCAGAAGGCUGGGCACAAUGCCGCUUCGGAUGGCCAGCAGAGAGCGAGCAAGCACGGGCACCGGUCGCUGGAAUCACACAAGGGUGACUUCAAACUGGCCAACCAAAAAUCCAGUCUGGAGAAAUUAAAACGCUAUGCAUCAAGUCCCACCUCCUCCUCCUCUUCCUCCAACACUGCCCAGCAAAGCUCACUGAGGGCCACCCUAGGGGACAACGUCAACAGAGUGCAGCAGCCAGCAAAGCUCAAUUGUAGCUCGGAAGGAGGAGCUCAAGCGCAAGAGAGGCCAGCAAAGCAUGGUGGCGGGCACUGUGUCCAAAACUUCCCGCCUUCUCUUGCUUCGAAGCUAGCAGAAACCAACAGCUUAUGUAAGGCCAAUGGACGGCCAAGACCAGGCUCCUGAUGAGUCUCCAAAGCUGAAGUUACCAGCAGAGACAACCAAGUCGUAUAGGGGAGUGCCUUCUAACA